RNAcentral lists this unclassified non-coding RNA (395 nucleotides) under soil metagenome. Its description in RNAcentral is "partial contains 5.8S ribosomal RNA, internal transcribed spacer 2, and large subunit ribosomal RNA". The stretch from base 1 to 120 matches the Rfam family "5.8S ribosomal RNA", at positions 35 to 154 of the family's 154-position model. The record is from RNAcentral.
GAUGAAGAACGCAGCGAAAUGCGAUAAGUAAUGUGAAUUGCAGAAUUCAGUGAAUCAUCGAAUCUUUGAACGCACCUUGCGCCUUUUGGUAUUCCGAAAGGCACACCUGUUUGAGCGUCAUGAAUACCUCAAUCUCCAUCUUUUCUUCGGAUUGAUGGGUGACUUGGAUGUUGAGCCCUGCUGGUACGCUAUAUCAGCUGGCUUUAAACUUAUUAGCCGGCUCUGUACUGGAUCGGUUUGACUCGACGUGAUAAUAUUAUCGUUGAGGAUGCAUGUCUCAUGCAGCCGGAAAGUAUCAAAGCAGCUUCUAGCUUGCCUUUAGUGCACUUUUACAUUUUAGACCUCAGAUCAGGUGGGACUACCCGCUGAACUUAAGCAUAUCAAUAAGCGGAGGA